Molecule: transfer RNA, 76 nt
Filed under: Subdoligranulum variabile
Lineage: Bacteria; Bacillati; Bacillota; Clostridia; Eubacteriales; Oscillospiraceae
Also listed under: 8 other names
Description: tRNA-Pro
Rfam family: tRNA
About the family: Transfer RNA (tRNA) molecules are approximately 80 nucleotides in length.
Source: RNAcentral
CCGGGUGUGGCGAAGCUUGGUAUCGCGCCUGGUUUGGGACCAGGAGAUUUCGCAGGUUCGAAUCCUGUCACCCGGA